GGAUUGGCACUGCAUCCAUGCUAUUAGCGGCGGACGGAGUGAGUAACACGUGGGUAACCUGCCUGUAAGACUGGGAUAACUCCGGGAAACCGGGGCUAAUACCGGAUGCUUGUUUGAACCGCAUGGUUCAAACAUAAAAGGUGGCUUCGGCUACCACUUACAGAUGGACCCGCGGCGCAUUAGCUAGUUGGUGAGGUAAUGGCUCACCAAGGCAACGAUGCGUAGCCGACCUGAGAGGGUGAUCGGCCACACUGGGACUGAGACACGGCCCAGACUCCUACGGGAGGCAGCAGUAGGGAAUCUUCCGCAAUGGACGAAAGUCUGACGGAGCAACGCCGCGUGAGUGAUGAAGGUUUUCGGAUCGUAAAGCUCUGUUGUUAGGGAAGAACAAGUACCGUUCGAAUAGGGCGGUACCUUGACGGUACCUAACCAGAAAGCCACGGCUAACUACGUGCCAGCAGCCGCGGUAAUACGUAGGUGGCAAGCGUUGUCCGGAAUUAUUGGGCGUAAAGGGCUCGCAGGCGGUUUCUUAAGUCUGAUGUGAAAGCCCCCGGCUCAACCGGGGAGGGUCAUUGGAAACUGGGGAACUUGAGUGCAGAAGAGGAGAGUGGAAUUCCACGUGUAGCGGUGAAAUGCAUAGAGAUGUGGAGGAACACCAGUGGCGAAGGCGACUCUCUGGUCUGUAACUGACGCUGAGGAGCGAAAGCGUGGGGAGCGAACAGGAUUAGAUACCCUGGUAGUCCACGCCGUAAACGAUGAGUGCUAAGUGUUAGGGGGUUUCCGCCCCUUAGUGCUGCAGCUAACGCAUUAAGCACUCCGCCUGGGGAGUACGGUCGCAAGACUGAAACUCAAAGGAAUUGACGGGGGCCCGCACAAGCGGUGGAGCAUGUGGUUUAAUUCGAAGCAACGCGAAGAACCUUACCAGGUCUUGACAUCCUCUGACAAUCCUAGAGAUAGGACGUCCCCUUCGGGGGCAGAGUGACAGGUGGUGCAUGGUUGUCGUCAGCUCGUGUCGUGAGAUGUUGGGUUAAGUCCCGCAACGAGCGCAACCCUUGAUCUUAGUUGCCAGCAUUCAGUUGGGCACUCUAAGGUGACUGCCGGUGACAAACCGGAGGAAGGUGGGGAUGACGUCAAAUCAUCAUGCCCCUUAUGACCUGGGCUACACACGUGCUACAAUGGACAGAACAAAGGGCAGCGAAACCGCGAGGUUAAGCCAAUCCCACAAAUCUGUUCUCAGUUCGGAUCGCAGUCUGCAACUCGACUGCGUGAAGCUGGAAUCGCUAGUAAUCGCGAUCAGCUGCCGUCCGCC
Molecule: ribosomal RNA, 1309 nt
Filed under: Bacillus subtilis
Lineage: Bacteria; Bacillati; Bacillota; Bacilli; Caryophanales; Bacillaceae
Description: bacterial SSU rRNA
Rfam family: Bacterial small subunit ribosomal RNA
Source: RNAcentral